Molecule: ribosomal RNA, 489 nt
Filed under: uncultured bacterium
Lineage: Bacteria
Description: partial 16S ribosomal RNA
Rfam family: Bacterial small subunit ribosomal RNA
Source: RNAcentral
GACGAACGCUGGCGGCGUGCUUAACACAUGCAAGUCGAACGGAAAGGCCCCCAUCUUGGUGGGGGUGCUCGAGUGGCGAACGGGUGAGUAACACGUGGGUGAUCUGCCCUGUACUUCGGGAUAAGCUUGGGAAACUGGGUCUAAUACCGGAUAGGACCAUGGUUUAGUGUCUCAUGGUGGAAAGAUUAUUGUUUUGGUGCAGGAUGAGCUCGCGGCCUAUCAGCUUGUUGGUGGGGUAAUGGCCUACCAAGGCGUCGACGGGUAGCCGGCCUGAGAGGGUGGACGGCCACAUUGGGACUGAGAUACGGCCCAGACUCCUACGGGAGGCAGCAGUGGGGAAUAGUGCACAAUGGGCGCAAGCCUGAUGCAGCGACGCCGCGUGGGGGAUGACGGCCGUCGGGUUGUAAACUCCUUUCGUUAGGGACGAAGCCGCACUUUUUUUGGGUGUGGUGACGGUACCUUUGUUAAGAAGCACCGGCUAACUACGUG